Molecule: long non-coding RNA, 3304 nt
Organism: Salmo trutta (river trout)
Lineage: Eukaryota; Metazoa; Chordata; Actinopteri; Salmoniformes; Salmonidae
Source: Ensembl
CACUCCUUUUCUUUGCUGAUGUUGUGCCUGUUUCCCGUUUACGGAGGGCAACACCCAGCAGCAGUGACAAGACCACCCCAGCUACGCUGUCCGCCUACUACUUAUGCGUCAGAAUCACCAACCAGAUUUACACUGAGUCACUCAAUAAUCAAAGCUCUAAGGAGUACAAACAGCUGAGGAAACAGGUGGAACAGAUGAUGGAUGACGUCCACAGCCCUUUGCCAGAGUCUGACAAAUAUCUGGGUGUAUUUGAUAUAAUCUUCAGGUCUACUUUCCACUCAUAUCCAAUCAAAUAAAUCCAAAACCCUUGCUCUGGACCUCGCCUAUACUGAAGGUAAAGAAGAUGGCAACCUUAUCUACUUCUGCUGUGUAGAAGCCUGAUUCAUUUGUAUGUUAAAAAAACUGUUUUGUAAAUAGCUUAAGAAACUGUUAUUAGUCAAAUAAAGCAGGAAUCACAAAUAUGUUCUUUAUUCCUUAGGUCAACUUCCAAUAAAAGCCACACUACCUCUUGUAGCACGUACCACAGCAACCGUAACUUCCUCACCACCAUCUACCACAAAUACCCCUGCAGCGACGACUACUACAGCUGCCUUAGUUAGUACGGCUAGCAGUUCAGGAAGGGUCGGGAUGACAUUGCAUCUACAGCAAUGAUUUCAUCUGGCAACAUCACCAGUCUUGCAACAGUUAGUAUCACAAGUAGUCAUACCCUCACAACCACCACCACUAGUCCUGACCAAAACAGUACAAUUAGCAGCAUUACCACUCAUAUUCCUGAAGACCAUAGCAGUACAAUUAGCAGCAUUACCACUCAUAUUCCUGAAGAACAUAACAGUACAAUUAGCAGCAUUACCACUCAUAUUCCUGAAGAACAUAACACUACAAUUAGCAACAUUACCACUCAUAUUCCUGAAGACCAUAACAGUACAAUUAGCAGCAUUACCACUCAUAUUCCUGAAGAACAUAACACUACAAUUAGCAACAUUACCACUCAUAUUCCUGAAGACCAUAACAGUACAAUUAGCAGCAUUACCACUCAUAUUCCUGAAGAACAUAACACUACAAUUAGCAACAUUACCACUCAUAUUCCUGAAGAACAUAACACUACAAUUAGCAGCAUUACCACUCAUAUUCCUGAAGAACAUAACACUACAAUUAGCAGCAUUACCACUCAUAUUCUUGAAGAACAUAACACUACAAUUAGCAGCAUUACCACUCAUAUUCCUGAAGAACAAUACACAACAAUUAGCAGCAUUACCACUCAUAUUCCUGAAGAACAUAACACUACAAUUAGCAGCAUUACCACUCAUAUUCCUGAAGAACAAUACACUACAAUUAGCAGCAUUACCACUCAUAUUCCUGAAGAACAUAACACUACAAUUAGCAGCAUUACCACUCAUAUUCCUGAAGAACAAUACACUACAAUUAGCAGCAUUACCACUCAUAUUCCUGAAGAACAUAACACUACAAUUAGCAGCAUUACCACUCAUAUUCCUGAAGAACAAUACACUACAAUUAGCAGCAUUACCACUCAUAUUCCUGAAGAACAUAACACUACAAUUAGCAACAUUACUACUCAUAUUCCUGAAGACCAAAACACAACAAUUAGCAACGUAACCACCCAUAUUCCUGGAGACCAUAACACUACAAUUAGCAACACAACCACCCCUAUUACCCCUAAAAAUCCUCCCCAGACCAGUAACACGACAGUCUUUCGUAAAACCUCUCCAUCAACAACUACCUCGGGCCAAUCUAACCCCCCAGUUGCCCCUACUGAGAGAGCAACAAGCAAGUAUCAGGCUGCUACGGGCCAAACAACCAGUCAUAAGAACACAGAGAAUACGGAGGUGACCCAUAAGACCACAGAGAAUGCUGCAGCUGUAGUUGCUGGGGGCAGAGAGGGAGUCCCAGGAUGGGGGAUCGCUCUAUUGGUACUGGCUGCCCUGAUCUUGUUAAUCCUCCUUAUUCUCCUAAUACUGCUGCUAGUGUGGUUGUGCUGUAGGCAGAGAGAUGGAAGCUUCAGCCCAUAUAACCAGAUCAACCACGGGGCAGACAUCCAAAUGUACUCCACACACAGCCGCUUCGACGUGCCCAACGGCAAGCCUAAUGGUGAAAUGGGGGGACCAUUGAAAAACCGAACAGGGAUGCAUGUGGUGAACGAGUACUGACACAUAGAAGCUCCAGUCAAUUGGGUAAGAAGACCAUCUGAAAUGACCUUAUGAAGUAAUAUGCAUGGGAGCAAUGACAAUUCUGUACAAAUGGUCCAAUUAUCUCUGAAGAUCAUGGCGUUGGCUCACUGAUUGUAAUUUCAACCUGUAUUUAUUCAAAUCAAAUUGAUUUAUAAAGCCCUUUUUACAUCCGCUGGUGUCACAAAGUGCUAUACAGAAACGCAGCCUAAAACCCCAAACAGCAAGCAAUGCAGAUGUCCUGUUAUUUUAUUCCUAAUGUUUUUACCAGUGGAGGCUGCUGAGGGGAGGACGGCUCAUAAUAAUAGCCGGAAUGGAGUCAAUGGAAUGGUAUCAAACACGUGGUUUCCAUGUGAAUGGUAUCAAACACAUGGUUUCCAUGUGAAUGGUAUCAAACACAUGGUUUCCAUGUGGUUGUUACCAUUCCAUUGACUCCAUUUGUAUUUCGUAUUAUUCUGUACGUAAAUCAGAGACACUCCAUUUAGUAUAUGUUACUCCUCCCCGACCAACCUCCCUACUUUAGUUUCUGUCUAAAGUAACCAGGCCAUUGAAAGGUAUCAUAUGUCUUGAUGUGCUCAGAAAUAUAUAAAUGAUGUUUCUAAUGGCUCUGAGGCCAUGCUAGCCAUUUUGGCUUCCUUGUGGUUAUGGGUUGAGUUGUAUUUUCAGUCUUUACUGAAGGCAAGCUUAACCUUGGUAAAAAAGAAAGCUGAUCCUAGAUCAGUAAAUGGGGUCAACAUAUGUAUCCUGCAAUUAACAUUGAAGAAGAAUGAGUAGGGGUGCCCCUAAGGACAAUACCCAAUCAGGUACAGUUAACAAGAAGUUAAUUGUUUUCAAAGACUGUAAAUCAAACCUUUUGACUUGGGCUGAGAGAUCCAGAUCUAAUUCCCUACCACUGGAUAAGACAUGUUUUGAGAUAGGAUACUAGCAUGCCAACAAGUUAACUAUUCCACAAACCCAACCCAGUGAGUAAAACACCAAUGUUAUGUAUAUUUGACAAUCUGAUUAAAUAAAUCCACCAUUAUUAAUCAAAUCUGUGAGAUGUAACUAUCUGUAAACAUUUGAAGUGACUGUGCAUUGGAGCUUUGAACUUUGCAUUAAAAAAAUCUAAAUAAUUUUGGGAU